RNAcentral lists this ribosomal RNA (497 nucleotides) under uncultured bacterium. Its description in RNAcentral is "partial 16S ribosomal RNA". It matches the Rfam family "Bacterial small subunit ribosomal RNA", at positions 28 to 507 of the family's 1533-position model. The record is from RNAcentral.
GAUGAACGCUGGCGGCGUGCCUAAUACAUGCAAGUCGAGCGAACAGACGAGGAGCUUGCUCCUCUGACGUUAGCGGCGGACGGGUGAGUAACACGUGGAGAACCUACCUAUAAGACUGGGAUAACUUCGGGAAACCGGAGCUAAUACCGGAUAAUAUAUUGAACCGCAUGGUUCAAUAGUGAAAGACGGUUUUGCUGUCACUUAUAGAUGGAUCCGCGCCGCAUUAGCUAGUUGGUAAGGUAACGGCUUACCAAGGCAACGAUGCGUAGCCGACCUGAGAGGGUGAUCGGCCACACUGGAACUGAGACACGGUCCAGACUCCUACGGGAGGCAGCAGUAGGGAAUCUUCCGCAAGGGGCGAAAGCCUGACGGAGCAACGCCGCGUGAGUGAUGAAGGUCUUCGGAUCGUAAAACGCUGUUAUUAGGGAAGAACAAAUGUGUAAGUAACUAUGAACGUCUUGACGGUACCUAAUCAGAAAGCCACGGCUAACUACGUG